GUGCCAGCCAGCCGCGGUAAUACAGAGGGUGCGAGCGUUAAUCGGAUUUACUGGGCGUAAAGCGCGCGUAGGUGGCUAAUUAAGUCAAAUGUGAAAUCCCCGAGCUUAACUUGGGAAUUGCAUUCGAUACUGGUUAGCUAGAGUAUGGGAGAGGAUGGUAGAAUUCCAGGUGUAGCGGUGAAAUGCGUAGAGAUCUGGAGGAAUACCGAUGGCGAAGGCAGCCAUCUGGCCUAAUACUGACACUGAGGUGCGAAAGCAUGGGGAGCAAACAGGAUUAGAUACCCUGGUAGUCC
Molecule: ribosomal RNA, 293 nt
Filed under: uncultured microorganism
Description: partial 16S ribosomal RNA
Rfam family: Bacterial small subunit ribosomal RNA
Source: RNAcentral